CCCGCCCGUCCCCUACUGCAGUGUCUCGGCGCCGCACGCCCGCACCGGCCUCAGUCUUGCUGAAUUGAGCGGGCCCAGCCUAAGGCGGCAACAACGGCUCUCGGACCGACCGUGAGCCUGGGGACUUUGUCUCCAACGACUGCAGGUGCAGCGGCCUGAGUUCUAAAUGCAGGUUGAAGACUACAGGUACAAGCCAAUGAAGCUGGAAUGCCCUGACACUGGUAUUUUAACUGACUUACACCAACUAUCACUCUGCAGUUUACAACACACAAGUGCCUCCAGUGAGGUCAACUAUUCUCACAUAACUUGUAGCAACCACGUAUCUGCACUGGCUUAGGAGUUUAGGGCAGUGGGAUAGUGCUGGUGGUUUAAUUCUCACAACUCUGUGAAGUGGAUACUGUAAAAUUACAGAUGAAGCAGUAGUUCAGGUAGUGAAUUGAGAUACCAUCACAUAUGCAUAGCCCUGAACAAGGAGCCUCAUAUGUACCUUUUUGGCUAUGUAAACUAUGAAAAGUCACUUCUCUCUUUUGAGAUUUACUGUCCUGGUUAAACGGUAGAAGUAUUCAGAUGGGGAUUAGGUCAGUUGGAGGCGGGGGCGGGGAGUGUUAAGGACCAGAGACUUAUUGUUGGGAAUAUAAGCUCUUUAUAGUAUAUAAUUACAUUGAACCUAAAAGAAGUCAAAAUUUGGCACAAAAGGAGCAUCCAUCAGCAUGUUAAAUGCUUCUGAUGAAUGUAGCAUAAUGAGCUGUAAAAAGGAAUUUAAAGGACGCAAUGAUGCUAGAUAGUUAGAAUUUGAAAGUAUUGGAGGUGAUGGGAAAGUUUUCAUAUGAGAAGAAAUGUGUCAGUGUAGCAAGGUUAACAGCCCAGUGUGUGCUAGGAGUUCUUCCUGUUGAUCAGCUCUGAAUGUUUACAAAUACCUCAUUUUCCAGAAGUCUUAAACGUAUUCACCUUGGGUUCAUUUUUAAUGCUUAUUUCAAAAUAUUGUAUUAGCCUCUGUUUAAACUUCAUUUCUUGUUAUAUUCCAUAUUAUUCUGUAAAAUCUAGCUUCCUAAUAUAGGAAAUUUAUGGAACAAAUGUUAGCGUAAUUGCUAGAGGGAAAACAAGGUAAGGGAAACAGGAAGGGCGUAUGUAUGCACUGUGAGUGGAGGACAUGAUAAUUUCAGAUAGAGCUGGUCGGAGAAUGACUUAAAACUUUCCCACGUUUCUAUAAGCACUAUCUUUCCUCCCAAGUGCUCUUGUUAUGGAUUUCUGUAGCACCCUGUAAUGGCCUUAUCAUACUUGGAAGCACAUUUUGUAGUUGCUUGUGAGCUUGCCUAAUUGCCCCUGCCCAUAAAGUCCCUCUUGGUUCCCACUAUAUUCCUGGGGUCUAACCAAGUGCCUGGCAUACUAUAGGUUCUCAGAUAUUUAACUUGAGCCCUAAACCCAUGAUUAUAGUACAAGGAGCAGUAUCAUUUAUAAUUAAGUUUAGUACUGUCGUUAAUUGUGUUGGAAUGAAUUAUAAAUUGCAUUCAAGUGGGUGGCUUACUUAGGAGUGGCAUAAUAAGAGCCUAGAUUCAGAUCCCCACCCUGUAUGAUCUUAGACCAGUUACUUCUUCAGUUUCUUUAUCUGUAAGUUGAUAAUAAUGACAGUUACUAAAAAAACCCCUGGUGAGUAGUAAGCACUUAGUAGUGCUAUAGGACCAUUUUGACAAUACCGUAUGAUCAUUGUAAUAUUGAAUCAAAAUGAAAAUACUGAUACUUGAUAUUUAUACGGUACUAAAAUGCUGGCUUUAAUGUUCAUAAAAAAUGAUAAGAGUACCUACUAGGGCCAGGUACUAUUCUAGGUGAACACAUCCAUGAACAAAGCAGAUCAGUGGAUGUGAUUGCGACUGGUCCACUGAUGGAGGCCUCCAGUGUAAAGGCUUGUGAUGCUUUCUUAAUUGAGUGCUGUGACUAGUUAGCAGUGUGCUGGCGGAGAGGGUAUUCGGUAGGCUAAAAGCCUACAUGAGGUGACUUCAAAUGCUAACUACAAAAGUCUGAAGGCUCUAGCAAAGAUCCCAAGGAUAACCACUGGUUUCACAAAUGGCUCCACUCCACUGAGUCCUGGUGCUGGUUCUUUGCCCCUUGAGGAGUUACUUGGGCUGGGUAGACAGGUGGAGACCCUGGGUCUGCCACAGAUCCUCCCUCUCCCACUAACCAACUUCAACCAGUUACAGUCUUGUUCAUACUUUGGUUUUCCAAAUUUUUUUUUUUUUUUUUAAA
This is a long non-coding RNA of Balaenoptera musculus (blue whale), 2241 nucleotides long. RefSeq lists it as uncharacterized. The record is from RefSeq and is a predicted model, not a curated record. The transcript is spliced from 3 exons. Lineage: Eukaryota; Metazoa; Chordata; Mammalia; Artiodactyla; Balaenopteridae.